RNAcentral lists this ribosomal RNA (253 nucleotides) under uncultured bacterium. Its description in RNAcentral is "partial 16S ribosomal RNA". It matches the Rfam family "Bacterial small subunit ribosomal RNA", at positions 524 to 776 of the family's 1533-position model. The record is from RNAcentral.
UACGAGGGGUGCAAGCGUUAUUCGGAAUUAUUGGGCGUAAAGGGUGCGUAGGUGGCAUGUUAAGUCUGUUGUUCAAUCUCUCGGCCUAACCGAGAGUUCGCGGCAGAAACUAACAAGCUAGAGUGUGAGAGAGAGAAGUGGAAUUCUUGGAGUAGCGGUUAAAUGCGUAGAUAUCAAGAGGAACACCGAUGGCGAAAGCAGCUUCUUGGCUCACUACUGACACUGAGGCACGAAAGCGUGGGGAGCAAACAGG